GGGGUUAAUUUAAUAAAUAAUAAAUAUGAAAAAAAAUUUUAAUAUAAUAUAUUUAAUGGGGGUUAAAGUAUUUUUAUAGAAAAAAUUUUAAAAUUUAUAGUGAAAUAGUAUUGUAAAAGAAAAAUUGAAAAUAUUGAAAUAAAAAUUUAUUUAAAAGUAAAUUUUAUUUAUUGUAUCUUGUGUAUCAGAGUUUUUUAAAAAAAAAAAUUGGGUAAAUUUAUUUCGAAAUUUAAAGAGUUAAUUAAUUAAAAAAGUUAAUAUUGCAUAAUUAUUUUUAAUAAUUAAUUGGAAAUGAAAAGUUAAUCGUUUUUAAUGAUAUCUAAUUUUUUUAGAAAAAAGUUUAAUUUUAAAUAAAUUUUAAAAAUAAUUAAUUAAUUAAUUAUUUUUAAAAUUUAAUUUUAUAUUUUAGGGGAUAAGCUUUAAAUUAGAUUUUUAUAAUAAAAGUAAAAAAAAAUUGAAAUUUUUAAAAUUUAUAUUUUUUAUAAAUUAUAGUUUAUUAUCAAUAAUUUCAUUUAAUUAAAAUUUUAUUUUAAUUUAAAUUUUUAUAAAAAAAUAUUUUUUAAUUUAAUAAAAAUAGAUAUAAUGAUAAAAUUAGUAUAUAAUUUAUAAAUAAAAUAAAAAUUAUUUAAAUUAAUAAAAAGGAAUUCGGCAAAAAU
RNAcentral lists this ribosomal RNA (656 nucleotides) under Pieris napi. RNAcentral's name for it is "partial 16S ribosomal RNA". The record is from RNAcentral. Lineage: Eukaryota; Metazoa; Arthropoda; Insecta; Lepidoptera; Pieridae.